RNAcentral lists this ribosomal RNA (198 nucleotides) under uncultured bacterium. RNAcentral describes it as "partial 16S ribosomal RNA". It matches the Rfam family "Bacterial small subunit ribosomal RNA", at positions 334 to 524 of the family's 1533-position model. The record is from RNAcentral.
UACUCCUACGGGAGGCAGCAGUAGGGAAUCUUCCACAAUGGGCGCAAGCCUGAUGGAGCAACGCCGCGUGAGUGAAGAAGGUUUUCGGAUCGUAAAGCUCUGUUGUUGGUGAAGAAGGAUAGAGGUAGUAACUGGCCUUUAUUUGACGGUAAUCAACCAGAAAGUCACGGCUAACUACGUGCCAGCAGCCGCGGUAAU